GGGGACAUAGCUCAGUUGGUAGAGUGCUUACCUCACAUGCAAAGCCCUGGUUUCAAAACCCUGAACCCCA
This 70-nucleotide transfer RNA is filed under the name Marmota monax (woodchuck). RNAcentral describes it as "tRNA.Val". The record is from RNAcentral. Lineage: Eukaryota; Metazoa; Chordata; Mammalia; Rodentia; Sciuridae.